AGGGUUUGAUUAUGGCUCAGAUUGAACGCUGGCGGCAGGCUUAACACAUGCAAGUCGAGCGGAGAUGAGGUGCUUGCACUUAUCUAGCGGCGGACGGGUGAGUAAUGCUUAGGAAUCUGCCUAUUAGUGGGGGACAACAUUCCGAAAGGAAUGCUAAUACCGCAUACGCCCUACGGGGGAAAGCAGGGGAUCUUCGGACCUUGCGCUAAUAGAUGAGCCUAAGUCGGAUUAGCUAGUUGGUGGGGUAAAGGCCUACCAAGGCGACGAUCUGUAGCGGGUCUGAGAGGAUGAUCCGCCACACUGGGACUGAGACACGGCCCAGACUCCUACGGGAGGCAGCAGUGGGGAAUAUUGGACAAUGGGCGGAAGCCUGAUCCAGCCAUGCCGCGUGUGUGAAGAAGGCCUUUUGGUUGUAAAGCACUUUAAGCGAGGAGGAGGCUACUUAGAUUAAUACUCUAGGAUAGUGGACGUUACUCGCAGAAUAAGCACCGGCUAACUCUGUGCCAGCAGCCGCGGUAAUACAGAGGGUGCGAGCGUUAAUCGGAUUUACUGGGCGUAAAGCGUGCGUAGGCGGCUGAUUAAGUCGGAUGUGAAAUCCCUGAGCUUAACUUAGGAAUUGCAUUCGAUACUGGUCAGCUAGAGUAUGGGAGAGGAUGGUAGGAUUCCAGGUGUAGCGGUGAAAUGCGUAGAGAUCUGGAGGAAUACCGAUGGCGAAGGCAGCCAUCUGGCCUAAUACUGACGCUGAGGUACGAAAGCAUGGGGAGCAAACAGGAUUAGAUACCCUGGUAGUCCAUGCCGUAAACGAUGUCUACUAGCCGUUGGGGCCUUUGAGGGCUUUAGUGGCGCAGCUAACGCGAUAAGUAGACCGCCUGGGGAGUACGGUCGCUAGGUAAAAACUCAAAUGAAUUGACGGGGGCCCGCACAAGCGUGCAUGGCUGUCGUCAGCUCGUGUCGUGAGAUGUUGGGUUAAGUCCCGGAACGAGCGCAACCCUUGUCAUUAGUUGCUACAUUUAGUUGGGCACUCUAAUGAGACUGCCGGUGACAAACCGGAGGAAGGUGGGGAUGACGUCAAGUCCUCAUGGCCCUUAUAGGUGGGGCUACACACGUCAUACAAUGGCUGGUACAAAGGGUUGCCAACCCGCGAGGGGGAGCUAAUCCCACAAAGCCAGUCGUAGUCCGGAGCGUAGUCUGCAACUCGACUACGUGAAGUCGGAAUCGCUAGUAAUCGUGGAUCAGAAUGUCACGGUGAAUACGUUCCCGGGUCUUGUACACACCGCCCGUCACACCAUGGGAGCGGGUUCUGCCAGAAGUAGUUAGCCUAACCGUAAGGAGGGCGAUUACCACGGCAGGGUUCGUGACUGGGGUGAAGUCGUAACAAGGUAGCCGUAUCGGAAGGUGCGGCUGGAUCACCUCCUUUCU
RNAcentral lists this ribosomal RNA (1419 nucleotides) under uncultured bacterium. RNAcentral's name for it is "16S ribosomal RNA". It matches the Rfam family "Bacterial small subunit ribosomal RNA". The record is from RNAcentral.